UACGUAGGGGGCAAGCGUUGUCCGGAUUUAUUGGGCGUAAAGAGCGUGUAGGCGGCCAGACAGGUCCGUUGUGAAAACUCGAGGCUCAACCUCGAGACGUCGAUGGAAACCGUCUGGCUAGAGUCCGGAAGAGGAGAGUGGAAUUCCUGGUGUAGCGGUGAAAUGCGCAGAUAUCAGGAAGAACACCUAUAGCGAAGGCAGCUCUCUGGGACGGUACUGACGCUGAGACGCGAAAGCGUGGGGAGCGAACAGG
This 253-nucleotide ribosomal RNA is filed under the name uncultured bacterium. RNAcentral describes it as "partial 16S ribosomal RNA". It matches the Rfam family "Bacterial small subunit ribosomal RNA", at positions 524 to 776 of the family's 1533-position model. The record is from RNAcentral.